CUAUUAUAUUUUGUUGUACUCUCAGGAGCGAGGUUGUGUUGUGAAUAUUGUAUGUACAGUGGGUUUGGUAUGUUUUUAUUUAUAUGUUUCAGUUUUAGCAGCUUUAUACUUCUGGUUGUAGCUAUGAUUUAUUUACAGGUACAACUAGCGGUUCGUAUAAACAAAAAAUUUCUAUAUAUACGGUGGGUUUGUUGGCGUGCCUGGGGAAACAUGAUAAUCUGGGGCAUGACAUUGUAGCAUUUAUAAUUGUUUGUAAGUUGUGAAAAUAAUUUUCUACCCCUCGUGGUAUACCCCUUAUGGUAGUGUGUUUAAAGAAAAGGUUUCCGCGUGGGAAACAAUUUUAAAAGGUUUUCUUGCGAAAAUGUAAAUAUACGCUGUGUUGUGAAUGGUUGUGGUUGUACUUAUACUCGUGCGACGCCGUGCAAAUACAGGGAAUGCUUUGUUCAUGUGAUCAGUGAGUUUCCUGUAUUUAUGGCUGGUCUGUCAUCUCUUGGGUCAAGAUUUUCAAAAGAAAAAAAAAGGUUUGGGCAUUUUUUCGCUGGCUUACAACUAAAAAGGGACCCCGAAGCAUGACAACUCAACCCUAAGGGGCUAAUAUCAUUCUAACCCUACAAUUUCUUAUUCAGAAGUUAAAAACUUAAUAGCAAAAGGGGCGAAGUACUAUCAAUAGUAUUCCAGCACAACUCUCUCUCUCU
This 695-nucleotide long non-coding RNA is filed under the name Ananas comosus (pineapple). Its description in RNAcentral is "long non-coding RNA (ACOM_LNC028021)". The record is from RNAcentral. Lineage: Eukaryota; Viridiplantae; Streptophyta; Magnoliopsida; Poales; Bromeliaceae.